This 572-nucleotide long non-coding RNA is filed under the name Hordeum vulgare. RNAcentral's name for it is "long non-coding RNA (HVUL_LNC013259)". Lineage: Eukaryota; Viridiplantae; Streptophyta; Magnoliopsida; Poales; Poaceae. The record is from RNAcentral.
AUAUAUGUCUUUACUGCCACGACGAGUCAGGCAUCGUAAGGCGCCCUGAGGGCAACAUAAGGUUUUCAAAGAGAUCACAAAACAAGGUUGUUUUCUACAAAUGACCUAUUACAUGGCUCUGAUGGCCAAAUCCAUGAAGAACUAUUCUGCUCAUGUCCUUGGGUCAGUUUGCUUUGAGCUUUGGCCGACUUCAAGUUGUAAGUCGCCCAACACCCAAUUACAUUUGGACAAAGCGGCAAAUUCAUCUUCAUCAUUCAGAAAUGUCGAGAGACCCGCCUCCAAAUCAAAAGUAUUCUUGGGUCGACGCGGCGUCAAGCUGGUUGUAACAAGGUUGGCGGAUUAACUCUCUUAUUGUUGUCGUCAUAAGCAGCUUGAUACUUUGACAAAUCCAAACUUGAAGCAAGCUGAGUCGCCGCCGAGCGAGAUUCUCUGACAACGCGCUGAUAAUCGUCUUGAGUAAAUUCUGACCCAUCGUCCUUGAGCUGAGGAAAGCCUGCUGUUACUUCUUCGGGUUUUAGCUCUGGAGCAUACGCUAAGCACCGACUUAGCGUAGUGAGUACCCCUUUCCGGGC